RNAcentral lists this transfer RNA (72 nucleotides) under Perca flavescens (yellow perch). RNAcentral describes it as "tRNA-Glu". Lineage: Eukaryota; Metazoa; Chordata; Actinopteri; Perciformes; Percidae. The record is from RNAcentral.
UCCCUCAUGGUCUAGUGGCUAGGAUUCGGUGCUCUCACAGCCGCGACCGGGGUUGGAUUCCGGGUCAGGGAA